Molecule: ribosomal RNA, 335 nt
Filed under: uncultured Planctomycetales bacterium
Lineage: Bacteria; Pseudomonadati; Planctomycetota; Planctomycetia; Planctomycetales
Description: bacterial SSU rRNA
Rfam family: Bacterial small subunit ribosomal RNA
Source: RNAcentral
CUAAGGCUCCAGAGGAAGCCACGGCUAACUCUGUGCCAGCAGCCGCGGUAAUACAGAAGCGGCAAGCGUUGUUCGGAAUUAUUGGGCGUAAAGAGCACGUAGGCGGCCUUGCAAGUCAGUUGUGAAAGCCUUCCGCUUAACGGAAGAAUGCCAGCUGAUACUACAGGGCUUGAGUACGGGAGGGGAGAGUGGAACUUCUGGUGGAGCGGUGAAAUGCGUAGAUAUCAGAAGGAACGCCGGCGGCGAAAGCGACUCUCUGGCCCGAAACUGACGCUGAGUGUGCGAAAGCUAGGGGAGCAAACGGGAUUAGAUACCCCGGUAGUCCUAGCCGUAAA